AUGGGCCAGGUGUGUGGAGGCCCCCACUGGGAGAAAGGCUACUGUGAUAGAGACCUCACCUGCACCCUGUUCACCGGACGCAGCCCUGCCAGACCCCCACACACCGGCGUGUGCAAAGUGUUACAUGGGCAUCAGGCAGACCCCCUGGCAGACCCCCUAUGCCCCUGGAUGUGGGGCUGCAACGUCAGGGCAGGGGCCUGUGACUGCUACUCCCUACAGACUUGCCACGCUGCCUUCUCCUAUCACAGUUUGGACCAAUGUCUCAAAACAAUGAGAGGGGAUGAGCUCUGGAGUGAGAUGGAGGAACAAGGGGAGCAUACAUGUGUGGAAUGGGGCUGUGAGUUGCAGGGAAGCCAGUGUGUGUGUAUGGAGAGGAGCUGCUACUCACCCACACCAUUAUUCUCUGAAGACACCUGUGAAAACAUGCUGCAGAGAGCUCGCUGCAGCAAUGUUAACUGCCCUGAGGUCCAAGUCCCUUCCUGCCCUGCUGAUUCCUUCCUCACUGAGCCUUACAUUCCUCAUGGCCAAUGCUGCCCUCUGGUGCCAGCUAUCUGCACAUGCAACUUCGAUAAAUGCCCGUUGGCACCCCCGACCUGUCCUCCUGGCCAGCAAGUCCACGGUGUGGAGAGCAGGGAUGGUCUUCCAGGGGCUUGUUGCCACCAGUACCAGUGUGUGUAG
RNAcentral lists this long non-coding RNA (678 nucleotides) under Oncorhynchus mykiss (rainbow trout). RNAcentral's name for it is "lncRNA (ENSOMYG00000048722.1)". The record is from RNAcentral. Lineage: Eukaryota; Metazoa; Chordata; Actinopteri; Salmoniformes; Salmonidae.